AGCAGCCGCGGUAAUUCCAGCUCCAAUAGCGUAUAUUAAAGUUGUUGCAGUUAAAAAGCUCGUAGUUGAAUUUCGGGAUCAAUUAAUUGGUCGUGCCUCUGGUACGUACUGAUUUUAUUGGUUUCUCCCUUCUGACGAACCAUGAUGUCAUUAAUUUGGUGUCGUGGAGAAUCAGGACUGUUACUUUGAAAAAUUAGAGUGUUUAAAGCAAGCUAACGCUUGAAUACAUUAGCAUGGAAUAAUGAAAUAGGACGUUUGAUCCUAUUUUGUUGGUUUCUAGGAUCGACGUAAUGAUUAAUAGGGAUAGUUGGGGGCAUUAGUAUUCAAUUGUCAGAGGUGAAAUUCUUGGAUUUAUUGAAGACUAACUACUGCGAAAGCAUUUGCCAAGGAUGUUUUCAUUAAUCAAGAACGAAAGUUAGGGGAUCGAAGACGAUCAGAUACCGUCGUAGU
This 450-nucleotide ribosomal RNA is filed under the name uncultured Glomus. RNAcentral describes it as "SSU rRNA". It matches the Rfam family "Eukaryotic small subunit ribosomal RNA", at positions 569 to 1024 of the family's 1831-position model. Lineage: Eukaryota; Fungi; Glomeromycota; Glomeromycetes; Glomerales; Glomeraceae. The record is from RNAcentral.